ACGGUUAUAAAUCAACUUAUUGAUUUAUAAGCAUGGAAAUCCCCUGAGUGAAACAACGAAUUGCUGUGUGUAGUCUUUGCCCAUCUCCCACGAUGGGCUUUUUUUUAA
Molecule: non-coding RNA, 108 nt
Filed under: Escherichia coli
Lineage: Bacteria; Pseudomonadati; Pseudomonadota; Gammaproteobacteria; Enterobacterales; Enterobacteriaceae
Description: antisense sRNA RprA
Rfam family: RprA RNA
About the family: Translational regulation of the stationary phase sigma factor RpoS is mediated by the formation of a double-stranded RNA stem-loop structure in the upstream region of the rpoS messenger RNA, occluding the translation initiation site. Clones carrying rprA (RpoS regulator RNA A) increased the translation of RpoS.
Source: RNAcentral